GAAAUCCUGGAUGCCAAGAAAUGAAAUCCUUUUUUUUUUGACGAGAUCACGGGGGCUGGCCAGCAGCCAGGCGCAAGGCUUUCCACGCAACUUGCCCACGCUGCCCGUUUAGCCCCUUGCUUCCUCCAGGACGGCUUCUCUCGCAUGUAUUUCUGUUCACCACAGAAAGAGGGUUAGAUUUUGAUUCGGCCCAAUAUUUUAGUUUGCACUACACCCUGGAAAAGCUGGUAACUUCUCCUUAAGACCUGUCAGUCUCUGAAUAUAAAUCCCCCUUUGUUGGGGGGGGGUGUGUGAUUUGAGCCGCAUGAUCAGAGUCAGGUGACAACACUGGGCACAAAAACGGAGUAGAAUAAACAGUGAGACCUAGGAGAUUAGCUGUUGAUCUUGCCUUUUGACAAGCUGUGCUGCUCCUCAGAGAAAAAUGAGUGCCUGGCCCUCUCCUCUGCUUUGGAGCUUAACCAUGGUGUGGCUGACAGGUAUUGCUUUAAGCCAGAUGACCACUACCCAGGUCCCUAUCGCCUCAACACCAGCGCCUCCCAGUGCAACGGCCACCCAGGUCCCUCUUGCCUCGACACCAGGGUCCCCUAGUGCAACCACUGUCUCAGCCUCUGCGCCCCCAGUUUCUGCUGCGACGCGCUCGGCUGGAGCGGCGUCCGCCACGCCAACCCUUGCCACGUCUGCGGGAGCGCUGUCUGCUGACCCGAGCACGGGAGCGCCAACUCCAGUUCUGUCCACCUCCCUGGACGUGACAGCACUCGUUUCUGGAAGCGCGACCAGCUCUCGUGUGCCCACAGCAGCACUCACUGGUGCCCCGUCCUUCUCUCCGGCUGCGACUGCGUCUCCCGGCGUCCCAUCAGCAGCUCCGUUCCUCGCCACCUCGGAGCCCUCGGGCUGCAGCAGGGUGAACGUGACAGCGUGCGAGCCUUGUUCCCCGGGGACGUUUCCCAACGAUGGCACCCUGAGCUGCUCGUGCUGUUCGCAGGGCUCCUGCACGGGCCCCGCUGACUGCGUUCCCUGCCCGGUGGGUCACUACCAGCCCCUGAGCGGACAGCAGUCGUGUCUGCCGUGUCCACAGGGGUAUUACACCAGUUUUCGGAGGAGCACCACAUGCUCUCCCUGCCCACCUGGCUCUUACGCUAACGAGUCUGGGGCUGCAGCCUGCAGAGCCUGCCAGAGAGGGUAUUUCAGCGCCCAGCAAAAUGCAGCUUUCUGCCUGCCUUGCCUGCCUGGAUCAUUUUGCAACACCACCAGCUGCACCGUGUGUCUGGCUUGCCCUGGUGGGAAGGAGGCUCUUCGCGAGGCAUCCGAGGAGUGCACACCUUGCCUCCCAGGUAUGUUCAAAGGUCCCAGCGACAACAGAUGCAAGCUCUGCAAGGCGGGAGAAUACCAAUUACAGCAAGGCAAGGAAAGCUGUGACCUAUGCCCAGAAAAUCACUACUGUCCUAGCCCGGAUGUGAACCCAGUCAAGUGCCCUGCUGACGCCUUCUGCCCCGCUGGCAGUGCCGAGCCUGAGUAUUGCAUGGAGGUGUUUUUUUACAAGGCAGGAGACUCAUGCCAGCUGGCCCCUCUGAUCAUCCUCCUGGCUGUUUUUGCAGCAGGUGGACUCCUUGUUGUCUUGCUGAUAAUUCUGAAGAGAAGGCAAGAACGUAGGAAGAAAUCUUUGAAGUCCCUACUCUUACCAAAAGGAUCAGGACAACACACAACGUAUGGUGUAACGGAGCACACAGAACCAGUAUACGCUGGUUGGUAG
Long non-coding RNA from Struthio camelus australis, 1750 nucleotides. Ensembl annotates it as multiple epidermal growth factor-like domains protein 9. Lineage: Eukaryota; Metazoa; Chordata; Aves; Struthioniformes; Struthionidae. The record is from Ensembl.